Anopheles coluzzii is the source of this 1194-nucleotide long non-coding RNA. RefSeq lists it as uncharacterized. The record is from RefSeq and is a predicted model, not a curated record. NCBI's taxonomy places the organism in Eukaryota, Metazoa, Arthropoda, Insecta, Diptera, Culicidae. The transcript is spliced from 3 exons.
UAUCCCAAAUUCUCCUAGGACUGCAACACAUCCGGCACACCCGGCAGGUGAAGAAACAGUCUCGGUGACAUUUACAUACAGCUAACGAGCUGUCAGCAGUGUGAUCCGAGCAUCCGAGCAAGCCGAGAGUUUGUCGCGGUGGAAGAGAUGAAUCAACAUACCAUUGGAAACUAUCCUCGUGCGAACAAGAAAAGGGACCAUUGUGCUACAAAAUGCACCAGCAGUGUACGCGGGGACAUCUUCUUUCCGGUGUUACGAUCCAUCACAUCAGUCUAUUCCUCGUCUGUUAGAUACUUCCGGUGUUGGGGAGUGAACUGCUGAAAGAAGAAAAAAGUAUUGUGCAUCUUCCGAGACGGAGUGUGAUAGUGCUGUUUUGUUUUGUUGGGCGUUGAAGAGGAGCAUUGUGGUUGACGCGAGCGCGUUAGUGUGUAAAUCGAAAUUGAACGAGUUUCGGUGUGAGUGACAAAGGCGCGCUAGACGUGGGGGCCCGAAUACUACUCCACCGCGAGAUUGCUGUCGGCUCCUCGGCGCCAUUGUGCCAUGAUCCGGAGUAGUGGAAUGGAAAAGCACAAAACACAUCUUCCGGACUGCCGGAAGCUUAACGUCACCGAUGGAAUCCCCGGCCCCCCUCCGGCUUGUUGUUGUUGCACGUGCUGCAGUACCUUUUUAAAAAGGGGAGCGAGUAAUGCAUGCGGUUGACGCGCUACCUUCGCACGAAAACUAUCUUUCCGGAUUGCAUUUGUCUCAACGGAAGGCAGAAAGACGAAAGAGUGAAGCUAUGCCUCAAAAUCCUUAACAACCAAAACGGAAUGCGAUAAAUGGGCUAAUUUGUUCGUAUGGAAACACUACACUUUGCAGUCUUGGAAUGCCGGCACGGGAAUGGUAAGUGGGAUGAGAUGUUACCUAAAAUUGUGAAACUUUUCGUCUGAAUCUUUCCGGUCGGAAUUAAUGUUGCUAAGUAAUAACGCGCUGGUUUCUGGCUGAUGGCUCCAGUAAGGAAAGACGGUUAACAUUAUGCAUAUUUUCCGUGGAAAAGAAAAGUUGAUACCUCAGAAUUAUAGCUACUUUCAAUUGCUUGCACGGUUUCGAAGUAAUUCUUUUCAGUUUUUAGUUGGUCUUUAAGCGCGAUGGAGUCCUAAACUACUUUAUAUCGUUGAACAUCGAUGGGCUUGUCCCCUCUAUACCAAAUAUCUA